UACGGAGGGGGCUAGCGUUGUUCGGAAUUACUGGGCGUAAAGCGCACGUAGGCGGCUUUGUAAGUUAGAGGUGAAAGCCCGGGGCUCAACUCCGGAAUUGCCUUUAAGACUGCAUCGCUAGAAUUGUGGAGAGGUAAGUGGAAUUCCGAGUGUAGAGGUGAAAUUCGUAGAGAUCAGGAGGAACACCCAUGGCGAAGGCAGCUCUCUGGUCGACCUCUGACGCUGAGACGCGAAAGCGUGGGGAGCGAACGGG
RNAcentral lists this ribosomal RNA (253 nucleotides) under uncultured bacterium. Its description in RNAcentral is "partial 16S ribosomal RNA". It matches the Rfam family "Bacterial small subunit ribosomal RNA", at positions 524 to 776 of the family's 1533-position model. The record is from RNAcentral.